RNAcentral lists this ribosomal RNA (441 nucleotides) under Bacillus sp. GR1-A4. Its description in RNAcentral is "bacterial SSU rRNA". It matches the Rfam family "Bacterial small subunit ribosomal RNA", at positions 40 to 469 of the family's 1533-position model. Lineage: Bacteria; Bacillati; Bacillota; Bacilli; Caryophanales; Bacillaceae. The record is from RNAcentral.
CGGCGUGCCUAAUACAUGCAAGUCGAGCGAAUGGAUUAAGAGCUUGCUCUUAUGAAGUUAGCGGCGGACGGGUGAGUAACACGUGGGUAACCUGCCCAUAAGACUGGGAUAACUCCGGGAAACCGGGGCUAAUACCGGAUAACAUUUUGAACCGCAUGGUUCGAAAUUGAAAGGCGGCUUCGGCUGUCACUUAUGGAUGGACCCGCGUCGCAUUAGCUAGUUGGUGAGGUAACGGCUCACCAAGGCAACGAUGCGUAGCCGACCUGAGAGGGUGAUCGGCCACACUGGGACUGAGACACGGCCCAGACUCCUACGGGAGGCAGCAGUAGGGAAUCUUCCGCAAUGGACGAAAGUCUGACGGAGCAACGCCGCGUGAGUGAUGAAGGCUUUCGGGUCGUAAAACUCUGUUGUUAGGGAAGAACAUAUGUGCUAGUUGAAUAA